GUCGACCGAAAUGAAAUAGAUGCACACACUCGCAUGUAAUAAAAUUCAUUUUUAAUUGUAACCAUGAGACUUCUGCCCCUCAUACAAGAGGGAUAUGGAUUUUAAGCAACCAUAGAGUUGACAUAUUCAGACACACACAUGAAACAAACGACAAUUGAUACUAAUAGUACCCUCCAUUGUACUCAAUCCUCCUCUUCAGCUUCUUCAAGCCAAUUAACGAACGGCUCCAGGGCUUUUACAAAUGUUUGCCUGCCCUUUGGGUUUGACCCCUUGCGAAACCAGAGAAGAAUAGUAUCCUCAGCCAGUACAUCUUGAUCAUACAAAGACCUCACUAUUUCAGGGAACAACUUCAUCAGCUUCGCAUCCUCGUAGCAUUGGAUCUGGACUUUAUACAUCAGUUCAAGUUCCAGUUUUCCAUUUGUGCAAAAUGCAUUCAACAGUUGAGCCCAAGUUUUCACCUGGCGUAGUGCGGCAUUGGCAUUUUGUUGUUGAUUCUUCCCAGACCACUGAACGGCAUCCAUUAAAACAUCCCACAAAAUGCGUAUGAUUUCAAUAUCAGGUAACUUAGCAUCCUUAACCCGUUGCUUCACAGUCUCUAUGACUUCAGAUACAUCGGUCUCUUCAGCAAUCUGGGUUGUCAAAGCUGACUUCAUCUCCUUCAGCUUAACCUCAAACAUUUUCCUAUCAUUGUAUUCAACAAGAGCUACUAGACCUUCUUUGACAAAAUGUUCAGAAAAACCUUCAGCAGACCGCUUUGCAGUCGGAAAGAAAUCAAGAAGAUUAUCUUCCAUUUUACCACGCUUCAAAAGAGAGAUAAGAUCAUCUAAACUGUUGUCAACCAAAUACACCUUGAAGAAAUCAGUCAUGAAUGAAAGGACUAUUCCCUUGGCAACAAGAUUAUCUUUGAGCAAUGGCUGGAACACCGUCUCCGGUGGAAGGCCCGAAAGCUUCUGUGAGAAUGUAAGGGCAGUAAAAAUAGCAAGCUUCUUUCUCUCGUUCUCUUCAAAGAGCUCCAAGGAUUGCAGGAAUUUUCGCAUAACAUUUUCAAGGCUCUUGAUUAGAAAAGGCCUACGCCGCAAGAUCUUCUGUAUAUAAAGAACUGAAGGCAAAAUUGCUUCACGUCUAGGCUCACAACCUAGAACUGAGUAGGGAUGUUUCUCUCCUUCAUCAGGCUUUACUGUACCAGGCUGAGUACGUCCUCCAGUGAACACUACCUCGAAGAAGGUGUCGCCGUAUCGCGAGAAGUCGUGAUCGGAAGAUUCUACAGAUUUGGCAAUGAGUUCCAGAUCACCAGCAUUAUCAAGAUAUAUCCGGACCACUGCAUCUGCAAAAGCAGACGGGUCCAAAGGAGCUGAUAUGUUCCGUUUGCGGGUCUUGAUCCGCGUGCCACCGAGAGUGGGCUUCUCCU
Molecule: unclassified non-coding RNA, 1408 nt
Filed under: Hevea brasiliensis (rubber tree)
Lineage: Eukaryota; Viridiplantae; Streptophyta; Magnoliopsida; Malpighiales; Euphorbiaceae
Source: RNAcentral